GACGAACGCUGGCGGCGUGCUUAACACAUGCAAGUCGAACGGAAAGGCCCUGCUUUUGUGGGGUGCUCGAGUGGCGAACGGGUGAGUAACACGUGAUUAACCUGCCCUUGACUUUGGGAUAACUUCAGGAAACUGGGGCUAAUACCGGAUAGGAGCUCCUGCUGCAUGGUGGGGGUUGGAAAGUUUCGGCGGUUGGGGAUGGACUCGCGGCUUAUCAGCUUGUUGGUGGGGUAGUGGCUUACCAAGGCUUUGACGGGUAGCCGGCCUGAGAGGGUGACCGGCCACAUUGGGACUGAGAUACGGACCAGACUCCUACGGGAGGCAGCAGUGGGGAAUAAUGCACAAUGGGCGGAAGCCUGAUGCAGCAACGCCGGGUGCGGGAUGAAGGCCUUCGGGUUGUAAACCGCGUUCGCCUGUGACGAAGCGUGAGUGACGGUAAUGGGUAAAGAAGCACCGGCUAACUACGUG
RNAcentral lists this ribosomal RNA (468 nucleotides) under uncultured bacterium. Its description in RNAcentral is "partial 16S ribosomal RNA". It matches the Rfam family "Bacterial small subunit ribosomal RNA", at positions 28 to 507 of the family's 1533-position model. The record is from RNAcentral.